RNAcentral lists this ribosomal RNA (292 nucleotides) under uncultured bacterium. RNAcentral describes it as "partial 16S ribosomal RNA". It matches the Rfam family "Bacterial small subunit ribosomal RNA", at positions 505 to 796 of the family's 1533-position model. The record is from RNAcentral.
GUGUCAGCAGCCGCGGUAAGACGAACCGUGCAAACGUUGUUCGGAAUCACUGGGCUUAAAGGGCGCGUAGGCGGGUCUCCCAGUCUGUGGUGAAAGCCCCCGGCUCAACCGGGGAAGUGCCGUGGAUACUGGAGACCUCGAGGAGGGUAGGGGCAUCUGGAACGGUCGGUGGAGCGGUGAAAUGCGUUGAUAUCGACCGGAACUCCGGUGGCGAAGGCGAGGUGCUGGACCCUUUCUGACGCUGAGGCGCGAAAGCCAGGGGAGCAAACGGGAUUAGAAACCCCGGUAGUCC